AGGACCCCCUAGAAUCUGACAAGCUGCCUACGCAGACAGCCUCCUUAGGACUGGUGCUAAGAGAAGCUGCAGCCAGCCUCAUGAGCUUUGGAGCCACCUUGUUAGAGAUCUCAGCCCUGUGGCUACAGCAGGAGGUGCAGCGACUGGAGAGAGGCAACGGCUGCCCAGACCCAGCCCUGGACACUGGGGAUCCUGGUAGGGCGCUGGCCCGUGUAGCCCUGGCAGCAGGGCAGGGGAUUCGGCAAGCUGGAGCAGCAGCUGGCGCAAGUGCCCGAGAUACUCGGGAAACCUCAAGGUGUCGUCCAGCAACAGUGAGGAGAAUGGGGGGACAGAUAAUCCAUCACUGUCCCAGGCCCACCCUGUGUCCAAAUAAAAGUCCAGAACGGGA
This 388-nucleotide long non-coding RNA is filed under the name Rattus norvegicus (Norway rat). Its description in RNAcentral is "long non-coding RNA NONRATT004500". Lineage: Eukaryota; Metazoa; Chordata; Mammalia; Rodentia; Muridae. The record is from RNAcentral.